GACGAACGCUGGCGGCGUGCUUAACACAUGCAAGUCGAACGGAAAGGCCCUGCUUUUGUGUGGUUCUCGAUUGGCGAACGCGUGAGUAACACGUGAGUAACCUGCCCUUGACUUUGGGAUAACUUCUGGAAACUGGGUCUAAUACCGGAUAGGAGCUCCUGCUGCAUGGUGUGGGUUGGAAAGUUUCGGCGGUUGGGUAUGUACUCGCGGCUUAUCAGCUUGUUUGUGGGGUAGUGGCUUACCAAGGCUUUGACGGGUAGCCGGCCUGAGAGGGUGACCGGCCACAUUGGGACUGACAUACGGCCCAGACUCCUAAGGGAGGCAGCAGGGGGGAAUAUUGCAGAAUGGGCGGAAGCCUGAUGCAGCAACGCCGCGUGCGGGAUGACGGCCUUAGGGUUGAAAACCGCUUGCGCAUGUGACGAAGCGUGAGUGACGGUAAUGGGUAAAGAAGCACCGGCUAAAUACGUG
This 468-nucleotide ribosomal RNA is filed under the name uncultured bacterium. Its description in RNAcentral is "partial 16S ribosomal RNA". It matches the Rfam family "Bacterial small subunit ribosomal RNA", at positions 28 to 507 of the family's 1533-position model. The record is from RNAcentral.